CUCUCCUCUUACUUCCUGCGCCUCCAUUCCACCCCCAACGUCUCUCUCUCCCUCUCUCAACUCCCUCAGCUUCGCCGGAAUUCCGCCAUGGCUCGUCGGCGUCGACCGGACCGCCGGUCAGCCUCCACCGGCGUCUCCCUUCUCUCCUUUCUCUCGUUUCUACCUCAUUUCUCCCUCUCUCGGUCAGCCGCUGCCCAACUUAGGCUCGGCCUUCAUCCAGCGACGAUCUGGUCCCACCAGCCGCCGCCUGCCACCGCCGCCGCUGCGUACACGGCGGUCUCACCGCCGUCGACCGAGAGAGGUAAGUUGUAGAAACGGAUAGAUCGUGAAAGAGGAUCGAAAAGAAAUGAAUUUCGUUGUUGCUCGCCGGAUAGCCGCCGGAGCUCCGUCGACAUCGCCGGGCAGAAGCUUCGGCUUGAGGAUCAUGAUUUGAAGAAAAGGAUGGCAUCUAAAGAGUGUAGCUUUGGUUCUCCGAGAAGCCAUUAUUCUUCAGUAUUUUUCUCACUUGUAUAGAAGAGACUCUAUUAUGUAUAAAUAGACAUUCAAUAUAUACUUCUACUAUAAUUGUAUAUGGACAAUUAUUUCAUAA
Non-coding RNA from Salvia hispanica, 589 nucleotides. NCBI's taxonomy places the organism in Eukaryota, Viridiplantae, Streptophyta, Magnoliopsida, Lamiales, Lamiaceae. The record is from RefSeq and is a predicted model, not a curated record.